This 148-nucleotide unclassified non-coding RNA is filed under the name uncultured Cladosporium. RNAcentral describes it as "sequence contains ITS2". The record is from RNAcentral. Lineage: Eukaryota; Fungi; Ascomycota; Dothideomycetes; Cladosporiales; Cladosporiaceae.
ACACCCUCAAGCUCUGCUUGGUGUUGGGCAACGCGGUCCGCCGCGUGCCUCAAAUCGACCGGCUGGGUCUUCUGUCCCCUAAGCGUUGUGGAAACUAUUCGCUAAAGGGUGUUCGGGAGGCUACGCCGUAAAACAACCCCAUUUCUAA